RNAcentral lists this long non-coding RNA (1175 nucleotides) under Callithrix jacchus (white-tufted-ear marmoset). RNAcentral describes it as "lncRNA (ENSCJAG00000069206.2)". Lineage: Eukaryota; Metazoa; Chordata; Mammalia; Primates; Cebidae. The record is from RNAcentral.
AUCAGCUUGGGUUCUGACUUGCAGGAACUCCCAGCCUGGUGCUGCGGGCCAGGGAGCAUGAGAGCUCCUGGUGAAGGGGUUGGGAUUCCCAGUAUGAGGUGCUCCUCAAGGGAAAAUGAAGGAAAAUGUGAAACCAAAAACUGCCUGAGUUGGUUGUGAACACAAACACGAGGCUGCAGCCCCAGCCGCAGGGUUUCACACCUGCUUACCUGCUCGGGGCACCUCACCAGGCAGACUGCAGCCGUGCUUGGUAGUUCCACCCACUGCAUCCCUGAUGGAGCAGGCCCGAGGGAGGUUCCUAGGAAACCUGUGGGACAUCCAGGCUGGGAUCUGGAGGAUGCGGAAUCCAGUGGGAGGAAGUGAAGGCAGGAAGGCGAGGGGCCAGCCCAAGGCUUCAUCACUGGGCUAGCACAGCUCAGACAGAGCACCAGCCACCCAUUCUCCUCUGCACACCAACCUUCAUUUAUCCUUGGAGCCUCAGUUAGUGCCUUGAGAAAUGAUGUUUACGUCAUCAUCAUAGUUAGUGUUUGCUGAGGGCCUCCCUGACUUCAGCUCCCUGGAAUGCAGCCUUCCCUCCUGGGGCCUCCUGACCAGGAGCAAAGGGCCCUGACUGGUCUGUUCAUGUGGAGCUGUCAGGAAAAGAACUCCUGCGGGGAGCCGCUAAUCCCAGAGUAAACAGAUGACCUCGUGGUGCCUUUCUCCCGGAGGUGGGGUUCCUAGCGCAGCGCCCCAACUGUGCAAACAGACCCCGGAGGGCUCGGUGCGCCUGCAGGGGCGUGGCCAGGGACCUGGGCCUGGGGCCAGGAGGGGCCUUUCCCUCUUGCCAGCCCUCUUUCUUCCUUUGUGAUUUCAAUUGAAUGGGGAGAAGCUCAAAGGCAGGGGCAGGAAAGGUCAAAGCCAAUUUGCAGGGCCAAGUGUGGGGGAGGAGAGAAGGGCUCAGACCAAGGUUUUUUUUUUUUUUUUUUGGAGGCCUGACCUUCACCUGGAAGCAACUCCUCCCCCUCCUGGGUCUUCUGCGGACACUGCCCUGGCAGAGCUGGCUUUGCAUCCUGGCCGCCUCCCUUACUAGCUGUGUGACAGAGGCCAGCAAGUGCACCUUUCUGAGCCUCAGUUUCCUCACUUGGAAAGCAGACGUUCCUGGCAGCCCUGAGGGCUGUGCACACGGGCCAGGCUGA